UUCAGUGUAUAUUAAUUAUUUAUUUUCAUUUUACUUAAAAUAUAUGUUUUUGUUAAGUUAACAUAUGUUUUUCUAAUCAAGUCUACGUAAUUGUGUCUAUUAUUCAACGUACAUAAUACUAAUGUGUUACUUGAUCGCAUAACAUUUAAGUUAAGUCAAUGAGGAUCGAUAUACCUUGUAUAUCCACAAGGUGGCAGUAAUGCAAAAACAGUUGUAAUGAAACCGCGCAGAACAAGAAGGUUUCACGGCUUGUGCCUGCUCAUGCGCAAGACUUCAAAUUUAACUGAAAAAGGCUGUUUUGGCGCCAAGCUGCUGUUUCUUUGAGAGAUCCUGCCUUUACCUGCUCCCUCCUAUACUGAUGUGGUGUAUGUGGUACUGCUGAGCUUGUAUGUGGUGGAAGCAGAAUAUGUGAGGAUUACUACUGCUGCACAUGUUCCAAGGCUUUUUACACAACUUGACCAAUACACUGACCAGCUCAUAAAAGUCUUCAAGAAAAAAGGAGGCGUUGCAGGGAAGAAAAUUAGACAAACUUUGGCCCCAGCCACACAGAAGGAAACCAUUGAAAAGGGGAGGGAGUGUGUCCUCAGGGCACUACCUUUUUACCUGAAUGAAGACUCAAGCAUCCUCUUCAAAGAAUAAUUGGUUGGUAAUUUUAGUUUAGUUUUUUAUCUGUAUUAAACCAAAUUUUGAAUAACUAAUGUUGUUGCAUGUUGUAAUGUUGUUGUUGUUGUAAUUUGCAUGGAACCUGUUUAAAUGUUUUGGGAAAUCUUCUUGUAUACCCAAACUAUUUAUAUUUAUCGUUGAAUCUGUAGUCUGAAAUAGUGGCACACUGGGGUGCAUGUUCCUAAUAUUGUGUUUACGUCAUUAAAGGGUAGCUUUGGCCCUUUUUCUUUCUUUUUUUAAAACUGGAUGCCAUUUUUCUAUGUUUUUGUGUCUAAGCUACAGCUGUUCAGAGGGAGCUGGAACAAAUUACCCUUGCUAUCUUUACCAUCGAAAGAGCUGAUGCCAGCACUCCUCCAGCCGAUGUGGGUAUAACCAUCUAGUGUGUCCUGCAUGACCUGGAAGACCUGGCCUCUGCAUGUGCACUCUUAAUGGGUGGGAUAUAUGCACUGAAUCUCAGUUAACCUCAAGACUGAAAGCUAAGAGACAAUCAAAAGUAUUGAGAUUUAAAGGAUUUAAUUGAGAGAUGAUACUGCA
Maylandia zebra (zebra mbuna) is the source of this 1197-nucleotide non-coding RNA. Lineage: Eukaryota; Metazoa; Chordata; Actinopteri; Cichliformes; Cichlidae. The record is from RefSeq and is a predicted model, not a curated record.